GUAUCUAUGUUGAUUGUAGACAGCAGAGUGUGAACAAGACUUUUAUUUUGGUCUGGCGAGGUGACGUCAUAAGGACGCGUCGCGCUCCUGCAGCUGGUCUUGAAAAAGAUAAACUCCUGUGAAGUGACUGAGAUCCACAUGGCACUUAUAAAGAUGGAGUUUAUUAAAGAGGAGAGUGAAGACAUGAAGAUUGAAGAAGCUUUAAAAGUCAAACAUGAAGAUACUGAGGAACAAACAGACCUGGUGGCACUGAAUGAAACCGAAGAGAAAGAUCUGCAUGAGAAACAUCAUGACUUCACAACUGGAGAAAAAUCUUUCAAUUGCUCAGAGACGGAAAAGACUUCCUCUCAGAAAAGAGCUGGGAAGACUGGAACUAGAAAAUGUUUCACCUGCCAACAAUGUGGAAAGUGUUUAAGCAAAAAAGAUAACCUUAAAAUCCAUAUGAGAGUUCACACUGGAGAGAAGCCUUACAUGUGCCAUCAGUGUGGAAAGAGCUUCCCACGAAACGCCAGUCUAGAGAUUCACAUGAGAACUCACACCGGAGAGAAGCCUCAUAUCUGCCCUCUCUGUGGAAUGGGCUUCACGUAUAAAGGAACGCUUUACAUCCACAUGAGAGUUCACACUGGAGAGAAGCCAUUUGAAUGUGGUCAGUGUGGGAAGCGUUUCCCACAUAAAGCAACCUUUGAUAUUCACAUGAGAAUUCACACCGGAGAGAAGCCAUACACCUGCCAGCUCUGUGGAAAAACUGUGAAUCGGAAAGGAAGUCUUGUAGUUCACAUGAGAGUUCACACCGGAGAGAAGCCUUACACCUGCCAACUGUGUGGAAAAACUAUGACUCAGAAAGGAAAUCUUAUAGCUCACAUGAAAGUUCACACUGGAGAGAAGCCUUACACCUGUAAUCAGUGUGAAAAAGGAUUUGCACGUAAAGAAUUUCUUCGUAAGCACAUAGAGAUUCACUCAAGAGAGAGCUGCUUAAUAUGCCAUCAGUGUGGAAGGAGAUUCACAGACAGGGAACAGUUAAAGAAGCACGUAAUAACUCAUAUCGGACAGAAGCCAUUCAUGUGUCAUCACUGUGGAAAGAGUUGCUCAAGAAAAGCAAACCUCGAGACUCACAUGAGAAUUCACACUGGAGAGAAACCCUUCACAUGCAAACAGUGUGGAAAGAGUUUCAGACAGAGAACAGCUCUUCAGAUUCACAAGAGAGUUCACACCAAAGAGAGGCCUUCUCACGCAUCUUCAGUGCGAGUUUCACAUGUCAAAUAGAUCUGAAAAAUCGAGACAGCAGACACUACAGCAUUGCUUGACAUCUCUGAAAGACUGGUAGCAUGUGGAUACACUGGACCGCUAAACAUCUGACAGAAAGGAGGACAUUGUCAGUGCUGUUGUCCUCUGUAUGAAUCCUUCCAAUGCUGCCGCAGAUGUGCAAAGGAUUGGAACUCCAUGGCCUUCAUGAAAUUAUGAAAAAAGCCGUUAUUUGUUCCUGGACGUUUUGAAAAACAGCCCGAUGCAGAUUUCCUCACAAUGGCCCUCUCACCCAUUUUAAGUGAGAUGGGUUCAGUGAAGCAGAGGGAAUCACAAAUUAUUUAACCAUUUACGAGACUUCAUUCAGAGCCUUGAAGAUGAAGAAGAAGGAAGCACUAGUACAGAGCACAGAGGUGAGGAUGACAACGAACGAACAUCUAAAUCAGAGGACUGCACCCACGGAGAUGAACAACAAGACAAGAAUACUGUCAAAAGCUUCAUGCAGUGGCUGACUGGUCAGGGACACGUUCCCAUUACAUCCACACAGAGAGAAACAUUCAACAUACAUGUAGAAUUUGAUCACGACCGUCAGUUGCAAUAUGGUCAACACAGUUUGUGCCGCCCUCUCGUUAAUGCAUGCUCCUGUACCAUCACCUUAGGGACCUACAAAGAGUUUCUUUGCUUUAUGCGACAGGCUGUGAUCAAAAGUAAAGAAUUUGGUCGUUCAUGAGAUGAAUUCUCAGUGUAGGGUUUACUUCAUAUGCUGUUUACGCUGUUAUACUCUUAUCAGUUUGUAAAAAAAAAAACAGUUUUCAGAUGUUCAGCUGUAGUUUAUUUCUUUAUAAUCGUUUAGUUCAUUACGGGCAUGUAUUGAUUGCUGGCAGAUUGUUACACAUUCAAUUCAGAAAUGAAGAGAAAGGUAUAUUUAUUUACAGUCAACUUAAAUGAGUGUUGAAGUCAAAAAACAAUGCAAUUAAAACAGCUGAGAUGAUUUAUUAUUAUUAAAUGUAAAAUACUUUGUUACUUCGGUGACAUUAAAAAGCUACCUACAGAUGUACUGGUCAAAAAAGUCACAAACUAUAUUAUAAACAAUAUUUUAUUGCACCACUUUUAGGUUUGAUUAUGGUGUGUUUUUGUCAUAGCUUUGUUUUCACUAAAAUAUCAGUGAGGUUACAAUGCAAUGUCACAAACUUUAUUUCCAUCAUGAGUAAAAUUACUCCAGACUUGCAGUGAGCUUCAGGUAAAUAGGUGGUAAAUUCAUGUGUGACAAUUAAGCCUUCCAUAACUUGUUCCUGAUUAACCUUACAUUUCCAUCCUAGAAUAUGACCAUGGGAUACAUCUUUCAACAUGGUUGUGUCCAAAUAACUGUUGCCAAACAUAUAAAAAGCCAGAAAAAUACUAAUACUUUAUACUAUGAUGCUUAUAAUAAUUUUAGGGGUAUAAAUCAAUAUAUAAAAACAUGUCAAUAGAUUGUGAUUUUUUUGGCUUGUGUUUUAGAAAAUCAAAUCUUUUUGUAAUUUUGACAAAACAUAUAUUGUUGGAAAGGUCUGAGAGUCAAGGUUCCAUAUUUGGUGACUGUUUUGCAAUAGAAGUGAUAUUG
RNA transcript from Cyprinus carpio (common carp), 2842 nucleotides. It is a transcript of the gene named gastrula zinc finger protein xLCGF3.1-like, with no coding region annotated. NCBI's taxonomy places the organism in Eukaryota, Metazoa, Chordata, Actinopteri, Cypriniformes, Cyprinidae. The transcript has 7 exons. The record is from RefSeq and is a predicted model, not a curated record.